RNAcentral lists this ribosomal RNA (426 nucleotides) under uncultured bacterium. Its description in RNAcentral is "partial 16S ribosomal RNA". It matches the Rfam family "Bacterial small subunit ribosomal RNA", at positions 354 to 796 of the family's 1533-position model. The record is from RNAcentral.
GUGGGGAAUUUUCCGCAAUGGGCGAAAGCCUGACGGAGCAAUGCCGCGUGAAGGAUGAAGGCCUAUGGGUUGUAAACUUCUUUUCUCAGAAAAGAAUUAUGACGGUAUCUGAGGAAUAAGCAUCGGCUAACUCUGUGCCAGCAGCCGCGGUAAGACAGAGGAUGCAAGCGUUAUCCGGAAUGAUUGGGCGUAAAGCGUCUGUAGGUUGUUUAAAAAGUAUUCUGUCAAAGAUUAGGGCUUAACCCUAGAUAGGCAGAAUAAACUUUUAAGCUAGAGUUUGGUAGAGGCAGAGGGAAUUCCCGGUGGAGCGGUGAAAUGCGUAGAUAUCGGGAGGAACACCAAAGGCGAAGGCACUCUGCUGGGCCAAUACUAACACUGAGAGACGAAAGCGAGGGGAGCAAAUGGGAUUAGAUACCCCAGUAGUCC